This 58-nucleotide transfer RNA is filed under the name Cavia porcellus (domestic guinea pig). Lineage: Eukaryota; Metazoa; Chordata; Mammalia; Rodentia; Caviidae. The record is from Rfam by way of RNAcentral.
GGGGAUUUAGCUCAGUGGCAUAAGCACCUGCCUUGUAAGCAGGCGGUCAUGAUCCCCA